UUUCACCCAUUCUCCCUUUUUCCUACAAAAAUUACUCAUUUUCACAUGUUGCCUCUUCCUCUAAGUGACUAUAUGUACCACUGCCUGACCAACUUAUUUGUUAAUAGUGACAUCCCAGAGGUGAAAGGCUUUCUGCAACGGUACGAUGGAGUCGGACCUAUUGAGAGGAUAGAAGCUGCAAACACACAGUCGAGAUUUACCAAUCCAUCUGACUUUUUCAAGGACUGCAGUCAUGUGCCAUUAGUUGAUUACAUGACGCAUAAACCGGAAAUGGUUGAUCGUUCAUAGUAUCAAUUAUUGGGAAUAAAUAAAUAAGCCUUCACAUAUGUAGCGCCCCAACAUGCUAACUACAUUACAGUUGGACAUAGUUCCGUCAAGGAUUCUAUAUCUUUCAUGGGUUAUAUUUUAAGCACCACGGAAAGUCCUCAUGGUAAUCGGUUCAAGUGCAAUUGCAGAUGAUCCUGAAUCUACAAGUGUUUGCUUAACAAGUUGCAAAUGUGAUCAUUUCGUAUCAAUAAAAUUAAAGAGUAGUAUGUGGUGACGAGGAGUAUUAAGUUGUGUUGGAGUACUUGCUUUAUUCAAAAUGGCUUUCGUUUUCUAUUUA
Molecule: RNA transcript, 604 nt
Organism: Erigeron canadensis
Lineage: Eukaryota; Viridiplantae; Streptophyta; Magnoliopsida; Asterales; Asteraceae
Exons: 4
Source: RefSeq, a predicted model, not a curated record